This 774-nucleotide ribosomal RNA is filed under the name uncultured Neocallimastigales. Its description in RNAcentral is "partial large subunit ribosomal RNA". It matches the Rfam family "Eukaryotic large subunit ribosomal RNA", at positions 23 to 644 of the family's 3401-position model. The record is from RNAcentral. Lineage: Eukaryota; Fungi; Neocallimastigomycota; Neocallimastigomycetes; Neocallimastigales.
AGAGAGAGACAUGCGCGCAUAUCAAUAAGCGGAGGAAAAGAAACUAACAAGGAUUCCCUUAGUAACGGCGAGUGAAGCGGGAAGAGCUCAAAUUUGAAAUCUUCAAGGUUCUACCUUGACGAAUUGUAGUUUAUAGAAGUGUUUUCUGUUAGUGGAGUGGCAAAAGUUCUUUGGAAUAGGACAUCAUAGGGGGUGAGAAUCCCGUAUUUGGUCAUUCCUCCUAGCGUUGUGAUACACUUUCAACGAGUCGGAUUGUUUGGGAACGCAGUCCAAAAUGGGUGGUAAAUUUCAUCUAAAGCUAAAUAUUGGCGAGAGACCGAUAGCGAACAAGUACCGUGAGGGAAAGAUGAAAAGAACUUUGAAAAGAGAGUUAAACAGUACGUGAAAUUGUCAAAAGGGAAGCGUUUGACACCAGUGUUGUUUUUCCGAAAAUCAAUUACGAAUGUUUUGUUUUUGAGGAGUUAUGACUUCAUCGGCUUGCUCCUUUCUUUAUGAAACUUUCUUAAUGCACUUUUCGGUUAACAAGUCAACAUCAAUUUCUUUUGUUGUAAAAGGGUAUGAGGAAGGUGGCUUUCUUUUCGGAGAAAGUGUUUAUAGCCUUGUGCCUCUGCAAUCGGAGAGAUUGAGGUCUGCAGCGUAGAUCCUUCGGGGUUAGAUACGUUUGUGCUAAGUUAUAGCUUUUCAUAGACAACUUGUUGACUAUGUUUAGUCUUGUAGCUUACUCGCUGACGCUAUCUUACCUACGCUUAGGAUGUUGAUAGUCACAGCGUGUAC